This 5447-nucleotide unclassified non-coding RNA is filed under the name Ixodes scapularis (black-legged tick). RNAcentral's name for it is "exportin-1, transcript variant X2". The record is from RNAcentral. Lineage: Eukaryota; Metazoa; Arthropoda; Arachnida; Ixodida; Ixodidae.
UUAGGGGAGGUACAAUAAUUGUGCGUGGUCCCUCACAGUCACCGAAUAAGAGCGUGGUUGAUGUGAAGCUGUACUUGGCGUGAAAGGAAAAAAAUCAAGAAAAAAAAACGGAGGUCCCUUUCAAAAGAAACCGAAAUUACGAUCUCCAUAUAACGCAACGGGGUCUGUGUUUUUCGUUAGAAAUUGAGGGAAAACUCAUCUCCGAAACUGGAAAACGGAAAACGUAAACUGGUAUCUUUUUGAUGUCUGUACAAGUGGAUGGGAUGAAGCAGCCGGUAACACCGUUUGGGACGCCUGUGAACGGCAGCAUGAAUGCGCUGUCCGAACAGGCAUCACGUCUGCUCGACUUCUCCCAGAAGUUGGACAUCAAUCUGCUGGACAGCGUCGUCUGCUGCAUGUACACGGGCGAGGGGGCCCAGCAACGGCUGGCCCAGGAGGUGCUGACGACGCUGAAGGAGCACCCAGAAGCGUGGACGCGGGUGGACACGAUUCUAGAGUUCUCCAAGAACCAGCAGACCAAGUACUACGCCCUGCAGAUCCUGGAGAAUGUGAUCAAGACCCGCUGGAAGGUGCUGCCCCGCAACCAGUGUGAGGGCAUCAAGAAGUACAUCGUGGGGCUCAUCAUCAAGACCUCGUCCGACCCCGAGGUGCUGGAGAGGGAGCGCGUCUACCUCAACAAGCUCAACAUGAUCCUCGUGCAGAUCCUGAAGCGGGAAUGGCCCAAGAACUGGCCCUCCUUCAUCAGUGACAUUGUGGGCGCCAGCAAGACCAAUGAGAGCCUCUGUCAGAACAACAUGAUCAUCCUCAAGCUGCUCAGCGAGGAGGUGUUUGACUUCUCGAGCGGCCAGAUGACGCAAGCCAAGGCCAAGCAUCUCAAGGACACCAUGUGCAGCGAAUUCUCCCACAUAUUUCAGCUCUGCCAGUUCGUCAUGGAAAACUCCCAAAAUGCUCUGUUGGUUCACGCGACGCUGGAGACGCUGCUGCGGUUUCUCAACUGGAUACCGCUCGGCUACAUCUUUGAGACCAAACUCAUCAGCACCCUCAUCUACAAGUUCCUCAACGUGCCGCUGUUCCGCAACGUGACCCUCAAGUGCUUGACGGAGAUCAGCGGGGUCAACGCGUCUCACUACGACGAGAUGUUUGUGCUCCUCUUCACGCAGACCAUGGCGCAGCUGGAACAGAUGCUGCCUCCUUCCACGGUGAUCAAGGAGGCCUACUCGAACGGCCAAGACGACGAGCAGAAGUUUAUCCAGAACCUGAGCCUGUUCCUGUGCACCUUCCUCAAGGAGCACGGGGCUCUGGUGGAGAAACGGACGGACCUGCGCGAGAUCUUGCAGGCCGCCCUGCACUACCUGCUGCUCAUCUCUGAGGUGGAGGAGGUGGAGAUCUUCAAGAUCUGCCUGGAGUACUGGAACGCCCUGGCCUCGGACCUGUACCGGGAGAUCCCGUACGGGCUGGGCACGGCGGCCCCGCUCUAUGUGGGCAGCGGGCCCUGCACCCCGGGGGGACGGGCUGCCAGCUCCCCGCAGUCCGCCAGGCGCCUGCUCUACGGGCCCGUGCUCACCAAGCUCCGCUACAUCAUGAUUGGGCGCAUGGCGAAGCCGGAGGAGGUGAUAGUGGUGGAGAAUGAGCAGGGUGAGGUGGUGCGGGAGUUCAUGAAGGACACGGACGCCAUCCAGCUCUACAAGAACAUGCGUGAGACGCUGGUAUACUUGACGCACUUGGACUACAUGGACACGGAGCGCAUCAUGACGGAGAAGCUGCACUACCAGGUGAAUGGCACAGAGUGGUCCUGGAAGAACCUCAACACGCUGUGCUGGGCGAUUGGCUCGAUCAGCGGGGCCAUGCACGAGGAGGACGAGAAGCGCUUCCUGGUGACGGUCAUCAAGGACCUGCUGGGGCUGUGCGAGCAGAAGAGGGGCAAGGACAACAAGGCCAUCAUUGCCUCCAACAUCAUGUACGUUGUGGGCCAGUACCCACGCUUCCUCCGGGCCCACUGGAAGUUCCUCAAGACCGUCGUCAACAAGCUCUUCGAGUUCAUGCACGAAACCCACGAAGGGGUGCAGGACAUGGCGUGCGACACCUUCAUCAAGAUCGCCCAGAAAUGCCGGAGGCACUUUGUGCAAGUGCAAGUGGGCGAGGCGGUGCCCUUCAUCGAGGAGAUCCUGGCCAACAUGAGCUCGAUCAUCUACGACCUGCAGCCCCAGCAGGUGCACACCUUCUGCGAGGCGGUGGGCUACAUGAUCAGUGCCCAGGCCGACCAGGCCGUGCAGGAACGCCUGGUCGACCGCUACAUGCUGCUGCCCAACCAGGUCUGGGACGACAUAAUCAAACAGGCCAGCAAGAAUGUGGACGUGCUGAAGGACGCGGAUGCGGUGCGCCAGCUGGGCAACAUCCUCAAGACGAAUGUGCGAGCCUGCAAGGCCCUGGGCCACCCCUACGUGACCCAGCUGGGGCGCAUCUACCUGGACAUGCUCAACGUGUACAAGGUGAUGAGCGAGAACAUCAGUGCGGCGGUGGCCCUCAACGGGGAGGUGGUCACCAAGCAGCCCCUCAUCCGCUCCAUGCGCACCGUCAAGAAGGAGACCCUCAAGCUCAUCUCGGGAUGGGUGUCACGCUCCAACGACCCCAAGAUGGUGCUUGAAAACUUCAUUCCCCCGCUGCUGGAUGCGGUACUCCUCGACUACCAGCGGUGCACGGUGCCGUCUGCCCGGGAACCUGAAGUACUCUCCGCCAUGUCCAUGAUUGUGCACCGGUUAGAGAGUUUCAUCACUUGCGAGAUUCCCAAGAUCUUCGACGCGGUGUUCGAGUGCACGUUGAGUAUGAUCAACAAGGACUUUGAGGAGUUCCCAGAACACAGAACCAACUUCUUCCUUCUUCUCCAGGCUGUGGUUACUCACUGCUUCCCCGCUUUGCUGAAUAUUCCUCCUGCACAGUUCAAGCUCGUGCUCGAUUCCAUCAUCUGGGCGUUCAAACACACAAUGCGGAAUGUCGCCGACGUCGGCCUGCAGAUCCUGUACCAGCUGCUGCAGAACAUAGCGGGAGAGGAGAUGGCGUCACAGAGCUUCUACCAGACCUACUACACGGACGUCAUGCAGCACCUGUUCUCCGUCGUCACGGACACCUCCCACACCGCAGGGCUGUCCAUGCAGGCGACCAUCUUGGCGUACAUGUUCAGCAUAGUGGAGGCGAACCGGGUGACGGUGCCGCUCAACCCAGCCCUGCAGCAGGCCAACGGAUUGGCCAACCUGGCCUACGUCCAGGACUUCGUCGCAAACCUGCUCAAGACCGCCUUCUCUCACCUCUCGGACGCACAAGUGAAGAUCACAGUCCAGGGCUUCUUCAACUUGAAUCAAGACAUCCAGGCAUUCAAGGAGCAUUUGCGGGACUUCCUAGUUCAAAUCAGGGAGUACACGGGCGAGGACGACAGCGACCUGUUCCUCGAAGAGCGGGAGGUGGCGCUGCGGCAAGCAGAAGAAGAGAAGCGCAAGAUCAGGAUGCUCGUUCCAGGAAUCCUCAAUCCCCACGAGAUCCCAGAAGAGAUGCAGGACUGAGCCGGUUUUCCGCUUCCUUAGUGCAGGCGUGUUUGUGCGACUGCCCCUAAAGCCUCUUCUCUCCCCCACCCCCUUUCCCCCUCGCGGAAGUGGUUAUACCUGCUUUUGCUUCCCAUCUCCCCCGCCCCUCUCUCUCGAGUCAUUUCUUUUUUUUUUGUCGUCGCAUAAGUUAUAUUUGCGUUGCUGUAUAUUUACCAUACCACCCCUUCCCCCCACCCCCCCUUCACGUCCUCCUUCGACUCUGAUCGAAAACACGCUUUUGCGAGAGAUGAAAUUUUUGGACGGAGUUUCUUCAUUUUGGUGUCCACCGCCUCCGCUGCGUCGUCGACGGUUGUCUGCCUCGGCUUUGGUCGCCUCUCCUGGUUGCUGGUUACGAAGACGCGGAGUCGUCUUGCGGUCUGUCCCGCCCGCCGCUGUCUGGCUAGGGUUGGCCGUCGUGUCGGCUAGAUUGGAUCAGUGCCGAGAUUUUCGAAGUCUGAUUUUGAAACGGUCUUGACGCCGAGGGUCUGAGAUUGGUUACUCGAGACAAUUUCGAUGUAACUCGACACGAGUCGAAUCCUCAAGAAUUUGUUCAGAGGUUAUCUCAGUGUCCUUUCCACGUUUGACAGCUUAAUCUCGGUCGAGGCAAGCGCGUCUAACCUCGGCACAACGCCGGUUCGACUUCGUGCACGCGUCAGCCUACAUCGACGGCCGGUUUGUUCCAACUUCAAACGUUGGUUCGAAACUGCUUCCACGUCGGUCAACCCAACAUCCAUUUUCGAUCCAGCGUUGGUUUCAUAUAAUCUUCCAAAGGUUAAAAUUCUUUCCCGGAGUACCAGUGGGGAUUUCCCGCUCCGCCGAAAACGUCCCGUCGGUGCUGGGAAGAGGAACGGCGCUCUUCGUGGGUCUGGCUGCAGUGUGGCUGUGCGAUUGUGCGUGCCUGUGUGCGUGUGUGCGUGCGUGCCUGGCGAGCGAACGCCUCCGACAGAGGACUUCUCGUCGCGGGGCGUCUGUCAUCGCAAACACAGAGUACUCUGCCCGACCAGGGGCAGACGGCGCGUGGCUUUCAAGAUGCGAAUUGAGAAGACGACGACAACUGCGACCCUGCGGCCGACACCUGUGGCGGAACACAGAGGAAGAACGUUGGAAGAGAGACGUUCCACAACCCACGACAUUGAUUUUCCUCUUUCGUUUUCACUCGUCGUCGAGCGCCGACGUCGACGUUCUUGCGUUUCAAUAUUUAUUAACUCGCUUCCGUUGUAGCUUAUUUGAGUUUCCGACGGUACGAACGCUGUCUUUGCCGUCAGAGUCCUACGGUUGUGCCGUUCCGAUUUUAUUUUAUUUUUCGGGCUUGCGGGAAGACCGGAAGCAGUGACGAGUGCAGCGGGAGGUAGCGUGCCCCUUCUAGACCGUCGGAGCACGCGACGUCCACCGGACGGAUGCAAGAUGACUCUGCAGUCUUUGGGUUCAGCGACGCGGCGGAAGACGGAAGCACGAGCAGCAUGUGAAGAAGCUACCCACUACGUGAAGCAUCUGGGAGAAUGUGGCGUGAGUGUUGUGUGUGCGUGAGAAAAAAAGGAAAAAAAAAGAUGGUGGCAUUGGGCGGAUUUUGUGCACAUGCCGAGCGUGUAUGUCUGUGCAUCUUUUCUCUCUUAUGUGUUGCGUAUGGAACCUCAAGGGGAAAAAAGAAAAACUGCUGGUGUGCGAUGUGCGUUAAAAAAUUUCGGUGUGUGGUUGGUUGGUGUGCAUCCGUGCCUGAUUGGAAACAGUUAUGUGAGAUUAGAUGUGUGCAUUUUUUUGUCGUGUUGGAGGAUUUUUUUUUUUUCUUGGCUGUUUAGUGUAUUGGAGAAGAGCAAAAAAAAAAAAAAAAACACGUUUUUGCUGGAAUAAAUGAGUGUUUUUACAUAGCUGGCA